AAGUCGUAACAAGGUUUCCGUAGGUGAACCUGCGGAAGGAUCAUUACCAAAUCCAAAUCCUUCAACCCCUUGUGAACUAUGAUUAAUAAUUAUUGUUUUGUCUUUGGGGAGUUUUAAAGUGUUGAAAAUUUGUUAUGAUUUUUGAUACUACUACUCCCCAAAAGAGUUAUUCCUCCCCUUUUUUUUAAAAAAAGUGGAGGGAAAACACUCACAUUGUUAAACUACUUUUUUAUAAACUUUUUUUUUUGGAAUGCUUUUAUUUAUACUAAUAAAAGACAACUUUUAACGGUGGAUCUCUUGGCUCGU
This 306-nucleotide unclassified non-coding RNA is filed under the name fungal sp. RNAcentral describes it as "partial internal transcribed spacer region". The stretch from base 1 to 46 matches the Rfam family "Eukaryotic small subunit ribosomal RNA", at positions 1786 to 1831 of the family's 1831-position model. Lineage: Eukaryota; Fungi. The record is from RNAcentral.